RNAcentral lists this ribosomal RNA (484 nucleotides) under uncultured bacterium. RNAcentral describes it as "partial 16S ribosomal RNA". It matches the Rfam family "Bacterial small subunit ribosomal RNA", at positions 30 to 507 of the family's 1533-position model. The record is from RNAcentral.
AUUGAACGCUAGCGGGAUGCUUUACACGUGCAAGUCGAACGGCAGCGCGGACUUCGGUCUGGCGGCGAGUGGCGAACGGGUGAGUAAUGUAUCGGAACGUGCCCAGUAGCGGGGGAUAACUACGCGAAAGCGUAGCUAAUACCGCAUACGCCCUACGGGGGAAAGCAGGGGAUCGUAAGACCUUGCACUAUUGGAGCGGCCGAUAUCGGAUUAGCUAGUUGGUGAGGUAACGGCUCACCAAGGCGACGAUCCGUAGCUGGUUUGAGAGGACGACCAGCCACACUGGGACUGAGACACGGCCCAGACUCCUACGGGAGGCAGCAGUGGGGAAUUUUGGACAAUGGGGGCAACCCUGAUCCAGCCAUCCCGCGUGUGCGAUGAAGGCCUUCGGGCUGUAAAGCACUUUUGGCAGGAAAGAAACGUCGCGGGCUAAUACCCCGUGGAACUGACGGUACCUGCAGAAUAAGCACCGGCUAACUACGUG